UACGUAGGGUGCGAGCGUUGUCCGGAAUUAUUGGGCGUAAAGAGCUCGUAGGCGGUUUGUCGCGUCUAUCGUGAAAACCUGCAGCUUAACUGUGGGCUUGCGGUGGAUACGGGCAGACUUGAGUUCGGUAGGGGAGACUGGAAUUCCUGGUGUAGCGGUGAAAUGCGCAGAUAUCAGGAGGAACACCGGUGGCGAAGGCGGGUCUCUGGGCCGAUACUGACGCUGAGGAGCGAAAGCGUGGGGAGCGAACAGG
RNAcentral lists this ribosomal RNA (253 nucleotides) under uncultured bacterium. RNAcentral's name for it is "partial 16S ribosomal RNA". It matches the Rfam family "Bacterial small subunit ribosomal RNA", at positions 524 to 776 of the family's 1533-position model. The record is from RNAcentral.